Molecule: ribosomal RNA, 497 nt
Filed under: uncultured bacterium
Lineage: Bacteria
Description: partial 16S ribosomal RNA
Rfam family: Bacterial small subunit ribosomal RNA
Source: RNAcentral
GAUGAACGCUGGCGGCGUGCCUAAUACAUGCAAGUCGAGCGAACGGACGAGAAGCUUGCUUCUCUGAUGUUAGCGGCGGACGGGUGAGUAACACGUGGAUAACCUACCUAUAAGACUGGGAUAACUUCGGGAAACCGGAGCUAAUACCGGAUAAUAUUUUGAACCACAUGGUUCAAAAGUGAAAGACGGUCUUGCUGUCACUUAUAGAUGGAUCCGCGCUGCAUUAGCUAGUUGGUAAGGUAACGGCUUACCAAGGCAACGAUGCAUAGCCGACCUGAGAGGGUGAUCGGCCACACUGGAACUGAGACACGGUCCAGACUCCUACGGGAGGCAGCAGUAGGGAAUCUUCCGCAAUGGGCGAAAGCCUGACGGAGCAACGCCGCGUGAGUGAUGAAGGUCUUCGGAUCGUAAAACUCUGUUAUUAGGGAAGAACAUAUGUGUAAGUAACUGUGCACAUCUUGACGGCACCUAAUCAGAAAGCCACGGCUAACUACGUG